UGAUUGGGGCCCCCUCUGCUGUCCGAUGACACUACAUGCUGGGAUGAGAGAAGAGUCACCUUCAACUCCUUUCCAUUCCUCCAGACUGCUUGUGAUUGUUAUUGAAAUGAUCUCACAAUACUUACUGAAUUAUAAGAACACACUGCAAAGGGAUGGAAGACAAUAGCUCUCAAGCAGACAGUGUCGUAUGUUCUGGCUGGUUGGUAAUUCCAGCCGGGAAAGCUUAUGAAGGCCCAGCCCUUUGAUCACUUGUGAAAAUAUGGUAGAUUGGAGGCCUCAGAUGAUGACCUGUAGCCCUGGCCCAGCAGGGUAGAUGGAAAAUGAUGAAUUAGUCUGAGUAAUUCAACCAGCUGCACUAAGAACAGAACCAAUUUGGCCAAGGCAGAAAUCACAGAUUGGACCCAAUAGUUGCUGUUGCUGUAUGAGCACGUUGGCUUUGUUUUUUCUCCAGUGAAAAGUCUACAAUGAACCCGGAAACUGCUGCAGGGAAGAAAUUAAUGUCUGACUCCAAAGGGUCUGGAAAAGGGGCUGAGAUGAAAAAUCCAUGAAGAGCAAGACCUGCUGCUAGCAGAAUGUAUUGGCUUUCCCCUUCUGAAUGAAAGGCGUGACAUCAAUGACAUGCCUCCAUGCCUGAGUUGUGUCAGCGAAGCGGCAGGUGACAG
Molecule: non-coding RNA, 662 nt
Organism: Pelodiscus sinensis (Chinese soft-shelled turtle)
Lineage: Eukaryota; Metazoa; Chordata; Testudines; Trionychidae
Source: RefSeq, a predicted model, not a curated record